Molecule: long non-coding RNA, 2683 nt
Filed under: Homo sapiens (human)
Lineage: Eukaryota; Metazoa; Chordata; Mammalia; Primates; Hominidae
Description: long non-coding RNA NONHSAT151959.1
Source: RNAcentral
ACUGCUCACCAUUUCUGAGCCGAUGAGGACUCACCUGGGCUCCUCACUGGUCAGGGAACUGUGGCCCAGCCGCAGAGUGAUUGCUUUGUCAAGAAGGGAAACAUUUACCUUUCCUUCUUCCCUCUGCUCUCUCCUAAUUAACAAUUAAAUGGAAGGAGUUGAAAAGACAUGUCAGAGACUUCAAUCUCCUCCCGGCCUGAGGAUGAAGGGGGCUCGAACCUGAAUGUUCUCUUCGCUGUGGCCAGAACCUAGGGGGCUGGGGUUGCUGCCAGCUCGACUGGAGGCCUGCUUCCAGCCCCAGGCUGUGGUGAGGGGCCUCACAGAUUUCACAAACAGGAGGGCGGCUGACCAAGCGCCAAACUAUUUAGACAAACACACACCCUCCCUUCCCGCCAGAGUUUGGGCUGAUUUCUCCCAAUGCUAAUGAACAGCUCAUAAGUAUUAAUAGACUCCUUGGCACCUAGGAGUCAGGCAGAGUAACUUCCAGUGUGAAUUUUGGCCAAGGACCCUGAUGCAGCCUCAGGAUCUUCCAAGCCCCUGUUGAGUCCAGGGGGCAUGAGACACACAGGGAGGCUGGGGCUGCUCCCAGGAAGCAGGCUCACAAGAGCCAGACAGGCUCCCACAGACAGCUUUUAGGUCACAGAAACCUCUGCCUGCCAGGUAGGCAUGAACACAGAAACCCUCCCAAAUCCUCAGACUGUGGAGCACACUCCAGGUGAGCCAGGAUCAAUCCCUGGUCUCAGAGAACACUUAGAUGGGGGUGAAAAGCAGGAACUGAGAGCUUCCCACCCAGCACCUGUCCCUGCUACCAGCUAAACCUGUGUCGGUCAGUGCAGGAAUUGUACAGGUGAUGCUCUGAGCCUGUGCUGAGGCCAUGUAUGGACUGAGGAAACCUCACUGUGUGUAUGUAAAGUUAAUUCAAACCUAUUUCCCUGAGUGCUUACAUAUUUUCAUAAGGAAAGUUCUGUUAGGAGAGCUGCCUGAAACAACACCUCUGCCUGUGCUCCCACUUUCUCCCGCUGGUGUGGGGAGGAGAGGCUGACAUCGCUGGGUCCACGUUCCUCUGCCCUGGGUGGGGUAUUAAUGCUGCCAUUCCCACGCUGCCUGCUGUUUCCCCUCAUCCUCAGGAGGGCUGGUCUCUGUGCUGCAGGCAGCUCCACCAGGCCUGGGAGCAUGACACCGUCUGCCAAUGCCUUGCCCAGGUCCACUGGCCUCACCCUUCCGCAGGCCUGCGCCUUCUGUGACUCUCUGCCUCAGCAAUUUCUCUGGAUUUCUUUGUCCUCAGGAAUGUGCUGGGGCCACAGGCAGGUCAGGCCAGGCUUUCUGGGGAGUGAAUGCUCUCUGCCAGUGGCGGAUGGAACUGGUAGACACGUCCCCCGGAUUCCUCGCCUGCAAGUGGGAUGGUGCCAGGAAAGUUCUACACCAUCCUUCCCAGGUCCCAGGAGGACAAGCACAGUUGUCCACAAGGGAACCAAGAGGAUGUUGAAAAAUCCUGGUUGGAUCUGAACUUGGAAACAAAUUUGAGGAAUCUAUUUUACUUAAUCCUACUGAAAAAUUCCCUAAUGAGUUAAAGAAGAACAAAGUAAAAGAAGAUAAAAAAGCAGUUGGUACUUGAAAUGAAGAUCAAAUCAUCAAGUCCUAUAUGUCACCCACAGAUCUGAGAUCACUGACUCCCAGAGACACCCAGUUUCUCAGUGUCAGUACACACUGCCUGGGUUAGUAAGCACAGGCUGAGACCUGGGAGGAAUUGAUGAACCAAAUGUGUCUGGGCUUUUCACUUCCUCGGCAUGAGUCAGCCAAGAAAGCCCACCUCUCCUCCCCAGCAGCGUGCAGGGCCUCUGCAGAUAAAUGUGCAGGAUAGCAGACCUGGGUGUGGUGCUGCCUGGCACUGAGCCAGCCCCCAGAUUCUUUGGCUGCAGAGUGGCCUGGCCAACUCACACAGGUAGCGCCCUUUUAUUCUUGGAAAAGGAAGCACCAGGUGGAAAGGGAGGUUAAAGGAGGGAACACAACUUUUUUCCAGACCCCUCUGCCCAGGAUGUUAAAGGUUGCUGGAAAAUGCCUUUGGUGGCUUUAAAUGUCACAGAUGACAUAUUCCAGGAUGGAUCCAGCCUCCACUGGACUUGGCCCCUCUAUUUUGAUUCCUGCCUUUCCCCAGCCUCAGCCCUGAGCGGCAUAAUAUCUACACGGGGUUAGCUGCAGGUGGAACUCAGAACACAGCUCCUAGACAAGUAGAGUGAGGCCUAUGGCUUCAUCAUCAAAAUGUAAAAUUUAAAAGCAAGGACCCACAUGUGGAGGCUCCUGAUCCCUGAACUGAAAGUCGACUCUCCAGUGCAACAUCAGUCAAAGAACAUUUAGUCAACCUGAACUGGGAGCACAGCGCUCCUGGGGCUGUUGGGCAUUCAAAAGAGUGUGGAUCAGUGUUAAAAGUGCUUCAUGGAGAAAUGGAGGCCUGAAAGCGACUCUGAAGGAGGAGUGGGGCUCAGCAAACAGCAGACGAGUUUCAAUCCAAGCACCCAUUACCCCCCUAACACACGGCAUACGUGCAUCUCAUCUCCUCCUGUGUCGCUAAGAAGCUACCCAUAUGUCUGUCAUUAAUUCUCCAGAAUCCUUGGACACACCCCUCUGCAGAGCUUUCUAACAGGAAAUACAAGUCUCAGAUUUUUUUUUAAGUUAAAAUUGAGUG